This 223-nucleotide ribosomal RNA is filed under the name uncultured bacterium. RNAcentral's name for it is "partial 16S ribosomal RNA". It matches the Rfam family "Bacterial small subunit ribosomal RNA", at positions 350 to 590 of the family's 1533-position model. The record is from RNAcentral.
AGCAGUGGGGAAUCUUGGACAAUGGGCGCAAGCCUGAUCCAGCCAUGCCGCGUGAGUGAUGAAGGCCUUAGGGUUGUAAAACUCUUUCGCCGAGGACGAUAAUGACGGUACUCGGAGAAGAAGCUCCGGCUAACUUCGUGCCAGCAGCCGCGGUAAUACGAAGGGGGCUAGCGUUGUUCGGAUUUACUGGGCGUAAAGCGCGUGUAGGCGGAUUUGUAAGUUG